GGGGGUAUAGCUCAGUUGGGAGAGCGCCUGCUUUGCAAGCAGGAUGUCGUCGGUUCAAGUCCGUCUACCUCCA
This 73-nucleotide transfer RNA is filed under the name Rhodopirellula islandica. RNAcentral's name for it is "tRNA-Ala". It matches the Rfam family "tRNA". Rfam says of the family: Transfer RNA (tRNA) molecules are approximately 80 nucleotides in length. Their secondary structure includes four short double-helical elements and three loops (D, anti-codon, and T loops). RNAcentral also lists the same sequence under 7 other names. Lineage: Bacteria; Pseudomonadati; Planctomycetota; Planctomycetia; Pirellulales; Pirellulaceae. The record is from RNAcentral.